UACGAGUGCGUCGAGCGUUAUCCGGAAUCAUUGGGCGUAAAGGGUGUGUAGGCGGCGUUGUUAGUCUCUUGUUAAAUUCCUCGGCUCAACCGAGGGCUCGCAAGGGAAACGGCAAUGCUUGAGUGCGGGAGGGGUCUCUGGAACUCUAGGUGUAGCGGUGAAAUGCGUUGAUAUCUAGGGGAACACCAAAAGCGAAGGCAGGAGACUGGCCCGUUUCUGACGCUGAAACACGAAAGCGUGGGUAGCGGAUGGG
RNAcentral lists this ribosomal RNA (253 nucleotides) under uncultured bacterium. Its description in RNAcentral is "partial 16S ribosomal RNA". It matches the Rfam family "Bacterial small subunit ribosomal RNA", at positions 524 to 776 of the family's 1533-position model. The record is from RNAcentral.